UACGGAGGGUGCAAACGUUGCUCGGAAUCAUUGGGCGUAAAGCGCACGUAGGCGGCUCAGUAAGUCGGGUGUGAAAGCCCUCGGCUCAACCGAGGAAGUGCAUUCGAAACUACUGAGCUUGAAUACUGGAGAGGAUCGCGGAAUUCCCGGUGUAGAGGUGAAAUUCGUAGAUAUCGGGAGGAACACCAGUGGCGAAGGCGACUUACUGGACGAUUGUUGACGCUGAGGUGCGAAAGCGUGGGGAGCAAACAGG
RNAcentral lists this ribosomal RNA (253 nucleotides) under uncultured bacterium. RNAcentral describes it as "partial 16S ribosomal RNA". It matches the Rfam family "Bacterial small subunit ribosomal RNA", at positions 524 to 776 of the family's 1533-position model. The record is from RNAcentral.